GUUUUUCUGUCUCCCACUCGCUGUCCCCAGGUUUGGGGAUACAGUAGCAAACAACGCAGACAAAAAAUAAAAUCAACACUCUCUUUUGAAGGUGUUAGGAAUGAUGUGAAGGAGGUAGCCCAGCAAAGGACUAAACAAAAAGGGAAGAAAAAAAUGGAAUAAAGUUCCUGACAAAGGAGUAAGUGAAAUAUGUUGCAGUUUCAGGAAAAGGGAUUGGCUGGAGCCCCGUGAACAAGGAGAGGGUGGUGAAUAGGGGACAGAAGCCUGGGUAUGUAGACAGGUCAGAUCCUUGAAGAGCAUGCUAAGGAUGAGGGGAUUACUCUGGGCAAUGGGAAAGCCACUGGAGAUCUUACAUAGGGGAAGUACAUGAUAUAACUUAAUGUUUUAGAAAAAUUACUCUCACUGCUUUGUGAUGGAGAAAGUGUAAGAAAUACGAAUAGAAGCUGGAAGACAAAAUGUGGGGCUGAUACAGAUAACUUUACCUUUUCUUUUUAGUAAGAAUAAGGGAUGUUGGACACUCUUCAUGCCCCUCUUAAUUUCUAAAAAAUACCCAAGGAUGGGGGUUCUUUGACCUGAGGAAAUUAAAAUAUUCAGCACUUUUAUGCUUUAAUGGGCCUAGAAAGAACUUAAUUGAUUCAGGUUAAGUAAGACUUACAUUAAACUGAUUGCUUUUGAUUAAAAUAUAAUAUCUUCCAGCUGAGGAUGGAAAUAACUUUCAUAUGGUUGGCAAUAUUUGAAAUAAUUACUCAACCCCAGUUGAAAUAAAGGUCUAAAAAUUAUUUUAUUAAUUUUCCUCAGAGUACAUCUUUUUACAAAUAAUACCACCCAUGAGAGAGAAGAGCCAUGAGAUGGGUCAAGGACAUCCUAUGAGUAACUUCAGUAGAGGCUGAAAUAACAUAUUCUAAUAUAUGAUCCACUGCUAACAUUUGGCAAAACCAUUUGGAAGAGUCCCAUACUGAGGCAACAAUCCCAGUUAAUAAGCUCCAUCGAAUGAUGUUCAACAACUGAUAAUGUGAACUCAGGUUGAACUCUAGUCAUAAAACUUGGAAAAGGGGGAGUUUGAGAAAUUGUAUCUUUUUUAUUGCAAAAUGAUUGACCUGAGUGUGAGAUCAAUGCUAAGCAUGCCUCUAUGGGGUAGAUAAGUUCAAGGCCAAGCUCAAAAAAAUAGGAACCACUCAACACAGGUUCAUCAUCUUCCAGACCCAUCUGUACUGAAGAACAUUUUUGGAUUCCCAAAGCGGCAGUGAAGUUCUUAUCUCUAAUUUGAACUGACAUGCACGGUUCUUAGUAAGCACAACUAAACAGUCUCUGAAAUAUGUUAGAAAUGCAAUAGAGUCAAAGAACUCAUCUACUUGGGAUGACCGUUUUUAUCAUUACUUUUAUUACAAGUAAAACCCCAUGUAGAUUAAUGCAGUCUCUCCUUUAGAGAAAUGUUUUUUUUUUUUUAACUUUGAAAAAGUUAAUGGCUUUUAUUGUACUUUUUUCUUUAAAAAUACAAUAAGGCUUUUUUUUUUUUUAAUUAAAACAAAUUUUUUUUUUAGGGCUGCACCUGCGGCAUAUGGAAGUUCCCAGGCUAGGGGUCAAAUCGGAGCUACAGCUGCUGGCCUACACCGCAGCCACAGCAAUGCCAGAUCCAAGCUGCAUCUGCAACAUACACCACAGCUCCUGGCAGCGCCAGAUCCUUAACCUACUGAGUGAGGCCAGGGAUUGAAUCACAUCCUCAUGAAUACUAGUCAGGUUCGUUUCCGCUGAGGCACGAGAGGAACUCCAUAAAAAUGUAACAAGGCUUACUAUAGAAAAUUUAGAAGCUAGAAAAAUGUGAAAAGGAGAAAAGUAAAAUUAGUUAUGAUACCUUACCUAGUUGGACAGACCAACACACACCAAUGAAUUCUUCCUGUAGGACCCAUCAGUAGUCUUUUCGGCCUUUUUCUCUUUGGCUAUGGCAUACGGAAGUUGCUGGGCCAAGGAUCAAACCUGCCCCAUAGCAGUGACAAUACUGGAUCCUUAACUGCUGGACCACCAGGUAACUCUGCUGUGAUCUUUCAAACAUACAACAAAUACAAUUCCUUGUCACAAAACCUAAGGCUAUAGCAUAGUGUGAUUGUUCGGUAAUGUCCUGAUGUUUUUAAAUUACUCUAUAUUUUAUAUAUUUGAGGUGGCAACUUUGGGAGGUCAUAGUCUGUAUUCAUUCAAAAGCCUAUCCUGAGCGACGCAGAUUUGUGACAGUCUUCUGUUUGUCAAGGGAAGACAUGGGCUUGUGGCCAGGGUCUGCCAUCCCCCGUCUUUUAGGACAAGAGAGAAGAAGCCUCAGACAUUCCUCGCCCCUACUCCCCAGUACGGUGGUCACGGUGUGUCUGGUGUGUGGGAGGGUGCAGGGAGUACCACACAUGGUAAACCGAGAUCCUGUGGUUUUAACUUUCUUUCAGGGGCACGUGGGCCUCUGGGGUCCCUGGGAGAAUUCUGACCUAGUGUUCUGAGCAGGAUCCACUGUGCUUCCUGGAGGUCACUGAGAAGUCUGUGCUCUCACCCCUUCUCCUCUCAUCCUCUGUAUAUUGUAAGACUCCUACUCUUCAUGCCCCAUAUGUUUUAACUUAGUCGUUUCUUGUGUAUGACUCAUAGUUUCCUGUGCUGAUGUCUACCUCUCAUCUCUGACCCUUUCAGUCUUUCUUGAAAGUCCACAAGUGACCAUGAUCUCCCUCCCCCAUCUCAGUUCCCAGAACACCUGUGGUACUUCACUAGAGAUGAGCAUCACAUUUCCUCUUUUAUUAUAAUCAUGCCUAUUCAUCAUCUUUGUUUCUAUGUUGCACAGAAGCGUCUCAUUAGUAGUUGGCAGAUGCUUGUAGUGGAAGAAGCCUGGGCUUGAAGUCAGGUACAUUUGGGUUCAAAUUAUAGUUACAAGACAAAGGAAGAUUUAAACUUAAAUUUUCAAGAGCUGCGGAAAAAAAAAAAAAUCACUUGAUAUGUUAUAUGUGAAAAAAAAAAAAUCCCUGAACAACUAGAGAAGAGAUUUCUAAAACAAUAAUGAUUAUAGACUAAAAACUUACAGAGAACAGUAUUCUUAGUGAAGAAACUUUAGUUCUGACUUAUUUCCUUUAAGAAAAGGAGCAAGAAGGAUGCCAGUUAUCACUGCUAUUAGAUAAUGCAUUACUGGACAUAGUGGCUAAAACAGCAUGCCUUUGCCUCCAUAACAUUUAGUUGUGACCAUGGAGCUAAGUAUGGCUAAUGGCAUGUGAGGGAAGAUACCUCUUGUUCCAUCUGCCAGUCUCGUCCAGAAAACCUGUUAGCAUCAUUGUAGGUUGGAUCUUAAGCUGCCCUAAUUAAUAACACAUACAAUCAAGGGGAUGAGAUAAAGUAGCAAUAAUCUCAAGCAGUGACAAUACAACAAUACUAAAAAACCCCAAUGGGUGGCAGCACACAGUCUAGGUAGCUUAGGAAUUGCCAAGAUAUCAGGAUCUAAGGAUACAGAGAAGUACCAGCCACACAGGAAGAGGGCUAUCCACGUGGUCAGAAACCAGACAGAAGAGUUAGGAUUCAAGUUCAUUUACCUUGAGGAAUGGUGGGAAAAGCCAUUUUUAUUAAUCAAUAUUGAUCACUUUUUGAAGUCAGGCAGACAAACACAAAUAUAUGCUAUUACGUAUAUGUGGAAUUUAAAAUAUGAUACAAAUGAAAUUAUUCACAAAAUAGAAACAGACCCACAGACAUAGAAACAAACUUAUGGUUAUCAAAAGGGAAAUGGGGGAGGGAUAAAUUAGGAGGUUGUGAUUAGCAAAUACAAACCACUAUAUAUAAAAUAAACAACAAAGUCCUACUGUAUAGUACAGGGAACUCUAUUCAAUAUCUUGUAAAAGACCGUAAUGAAAAAGAAUAUGAAAAAAUAUUGAUCAUUUUGCUUUAAGAAAAGUUUUUAAACUACAGGGAAACAUAAUGCUAUUUUCAAUUCCUUAUCCACCUAUAGAAUAUUUGAGAAAGAAAUGCAGACCCCUGAUCUGUCCUAGCUGUGAUUUCAAGAAGAGUUACCAGUCGUCUGGGUAAUACUGUACCAUUUUGGUGGGCUCUAGCCCAGACACAGUGAGGGAGCUAGGAUGUGAAGAUGCUCUGUCAUUGCCUUGAGUCUCUCAUGUCCCCUGGAAGGAAGAGAAGUGUAGACAAAUCACGGGAUGCCAGAGGCUCCUGCUCUAAGCUGUACUAAACAAGAAUGGAGUUCCCACUGUGGCGCAGUGGAAACGAAUCCGACUAGUAUCCUUGAGGAUGAGGGUUCAAUCCCUGGCCUCGCUCAGUGGGUUAAGGAUCUGGCCAAGAGCUGUGGUGUAUGUAGGUCGAAGACGUGGCUCAGAUCCUGCAUUGCUGUGGCUGUGGUGUAGGCCUGGAGCAGUAGCUCUGAUUCGACCCCUAGCCUGGGAAUUUCCAUAUGCUGCAGGUACAUUCCUAAAAAAAAAAAAAAAAAAAAAAAAAAAAAAAAAAAAAAAAA
Molecule: long non-coding RNA, 4468 nt
Filed under: Sus scrofa (pig)
Lineage: Eukaryota; Metazoa; Chordata; Mammalia; Artiodactyla; Suidae
Description: lncRNA (ENSSSCG00025061605.1, ENSSSCG00035065196.1)
Source: RNAcentral